Molecule: long non-coding RNA, 666 nt
Organism: Trichomycterus rosablanca
Lineage: Eukaryota; Metazoa; Chordata; Actinopteri; Siluriformes; Trichomycteridae
Exons: 3
Source: RefSeq, a predicted model, not a curated record
GAAAAAGUUCUGAAAGCCCUGCACUACCUGUUUCAUUAUGCACCUGCAAGGAGGGAAGACUUUGUGUUAUUGACCAAGUGUGAUAGAUUUCCUCUGCCAUUUUGUGGACAUCGCUGGCUGGAAAACCUUCCAGCAGUUGAGAGAGCCAUUGAAAUUUGGCCAUAUAUUGUCUCCUAUGUGGAUCAGGUCAAAGCCAAGAAGCUCCCCAAUCCAAGGUCAUCAUCGUAUGACACCAUCGCAGAAGCACGGAUGGAUCCCAUUAUCCUGGCAAAGUUGCACUUCUUCAUGAGUAUCUCAAGAACUUUUCAGCCAUUUCUCACCAAGUACCAGACAGAUGCCCCGAUGAUUCCCUUCUUAGGCAGAGAUUUGGAGGAUCUAAUCAGGAGCCUUCUCAGGCGGUUUAUAAAGCGAGAUGUUCAGGUUGAUGUUUCCCCAGUAAAUCUGGUCAAGCUUGAUGUGACAGACCAAAAAUUUUGGGUCAGUCCAAAGCAAGUGGACAUUGGCUUGGGAGCCACAGCUGCCCUCAAGGUGAUAAGAUUGCACAACAGUUUCAGAAGUUCCUGUUUAAUGAGGCCAGAGGAGAGGAAUUCAUGGUCUUCAGUGCAUUGGAUGGGACAUUGCGAGUUGACAGCUUCCUGCAUAAGGCCAUGAAUGGAUAUGCAGAAC